RNAcentral lists this ribosomal RNA (627 nucleotides) under uncultured bacterium. Its description in RNAcentral is "bacterial SSU rRNA". It matches the Rfam family "Bacterial small subunit ribosomal RNA", at positions 202 to 832 of the family's 1533-position model. The record is from RNAcentral.
GAAAGAAUAUCGGAGACGGAUGGGCAUGCGGCGCAUUAGCUAGUUGGCGGGGUAACGGCCCACCAAGGCGACGAUGCGUAGGGGUUCUGAGAGGAAGGUCCCCCACACUGGUACUGAGACACGGACCAGACUCCUACGGGAGGCAGCAGUGAGGAAUAUUGGUCAAUGGGCGAGAGCCUGAACCAGCCAAGUCGCGUGAGGGAGUACUGCCCUAUGGGUUGUAAACCUCUUUUGUCGGGGAGCAAAAGCCGGACGUGUCCGGCUGUGAGAGUACCCGAAGAAAAAGCAUCGGCUAACUCCGUGCCAGCAGCCGCGGUAAUACGGAGGAUGCGAGCGUUAUCCGGAUUUAUUGGGUUUAAAGGGUGCGCGGGCGGAUUUUUAAGUCAGCGGUCAAAUCGUGGGGCUCAACCCCAUCCAGCCGUUGAAACUGGGGAUCUAGAGUGUGCGAGAGGUAUGCGGAAUGCGUGGUGUAGCGGUGAAAUGCAUAGAUAUCACGCAGAACCCCGAUUGCGAAGGCAGCAUACCGGUGCACAACUGACGCUCAGGCACGAAAGCGUGGGUAUCGAACAGGAUUAGAUACCCUGGUAGUCCACGCAGUAAACGAUGAAUGCUACCUGUUUGGCCAGA